GACGAACGCUGGCGGCGUGCUUAACACAUGCAAGUCGAACGGAAAGGCCCUGCUUUUGUGGGGUGCUCGAGUGGCGAACGGGUGAGUAACACGUGAGUAACCUGCCCUUGACUUUGGGAUAACUUCAGGAAACUGGGGCUAAUACCGGAUAGGAGCUCCUGCUGCAUGGUGGGGGUUGGAAAGUUUCGGCGGUUGGGGAUGGACUCGCGGCUUAUCAGCUUGUUGGUGGGGUAGUGGCUUACCAAGGCUUUGACGGGUAGCCGGCCUGAGAGGGUGACCGGCCACAUUGGGACUGAGAUACGGCCCAGACUCCUACGGGAGGCAGCAGUGGGGAAUAUUGCACAAUGGGCGGAAGCCUGAUGCAGCAACGCCGCGUGCGGGAUGACGGCCUUCGGGUUGUAAACCGCUUUCGCCUGUGACGAAGCGUGAGUGACGGUAAUGGGUAAAGAAGCACCGGCUAACUACGUGCCAGCAGCCGCGGUGAUACGUAGGGUGCGAGCGUUGUCCGGAUUUAUUGGGCGUAAAGGGCUCGUAGGUGGUUGAUCGCGUCGGAAGUGUAAUCUUGGGGCUUAACCCUGAGCGUGCUUUCAAUACGGGUUGACUUGAGGAAAGGUAGGGGAGAAUGGAAUUCCUGGUGGAGCGGUGGAAUGCGCAGAUAUCAGGAGGGAACACCAGUGGCGAAGGCGGUUCUCUGGGCCUUUCCUGACGCUGAGGAGCGAAAGCGUGGGGAGCGAACAGGCUUAGAUACCCUGGUAGUCCACGCUGUAAACGGUGGGUACUAGGUGUGGGGUCCAUUCCACGGGUUCCGUGCCGUAGCUAACGCUUUAAGUACCCCGCCUGGGGAGUACGGCCGCAAGGCUAAAACUCAAAGGAAUUGACGGGGCCCCGCACAAGCGGCGGAGCAUGCGGAUUAAUUCGAUGCAACGCGUAGAACCUUACCUGGGUUUGACAUGGAUCGGGAGUGCUCAGAGAUGGGUGUGCCUCUUUUGGGGUCGGUUCACAGGUGGUGCAUGGCUGUCGUCAGCUCGUGUCGUGAGAUGUUGGGUUAAGUCCCGCAACGAGCGCAACCCUUGUUCACUGUUGCCAGCACGUUAUGGUGGGGACUCAGUGGAGACCGCCGGGGUCAACUCGGAGGAAGGUGGGGAUGACGUCAAGUCAUCAUGCCCCUUAUGUCCAGGGCUUCACGCAUGCUACAAUGGCUGGUACAGAGAGUGGCGAGCCUGUGAGGGUGAGCGAAUCUCGGAAAGCCGGUCUCAGUUCGGAUUGGGGUCUGCAACUCGACCUCAUGAAGUCGGAGUCGCUAGUAAUCGCAGAUCAGCAACGCUGCGGUGAAUACGUUCCCGGGGCU
RNAcentral lists this ribosomal RNA (1348 nucleotides) under uncultured bacterium. RNAcentral's name for it is "partial 16S ribosomal RNA". It matches the Rfam family "Bacterial small subunit ribosomal RNA", at positions 28 to 1381 of the family's 1533-position model. The record is from RNAcentral.